This 1226-nucleotide long non-coding RNA is filed under the name Salmo salar (Atlantic salmon). Its description in RNAcentral is "lncRNA (ENSSSAG00000106659.1)". The record is from RNAcentral. Lineage: Eukaryota; Metazoa; Chordata; Actinopteri; Salmoniformes; Salmonidae.
GUCACAGACGAGAGGAGGAGAGGAGAGAGGAGAGGAGGGGGCAGGAACAGCACAGGUCAUAUCGGAGAGGGCAGGAACAGCACAGGUCACAGAGGAGAGGAGAGGAGAGAGGAGGGGAGGAGAGGGCAGGAACAGCACAGGUCACAGAGGAGAGGAGAGAGGAGGGGAGGAGAGGGCAGGAACAGCACAGGUCACAGAGGAGAGUAGAGUAGAGGAGAGGGCAGGAACAGCACAGGUCACAGAGGAGAGGAGAGAGGAGGGGAGGAGAGGGCAGGAACAGCACAGGUCACAGAGGAGGUCACAGAGGAGAGUAGUGUAGAGGAGAGGGCAGGAACAGCACAGGUCACAGAGGAGAGGAGAGUAGAGGAGAGGGCAGGAACAGCACAGGUCACAGAGGAGAGGAGAGGGCAGGAACAGCACAGGUCACAGAGGAGAGUGGAGGGCAGGAACAGCACAGGUCACAGAGGAGAGUAGAGUAGAAGAGAGGGGAGAGGGCAGGAACAGCACAGGUCACAGAGGAGAGGAGAGUAGAAGAGAGAGGAGAGGGCAGGAACAGCACAGGUCACAGAGGAGAGGAGAGGGGAGGAGAGGAGAGGGCAGGAACAGCACAGGUCACAGAGGAGAGUAAAGUAGAAGAGAGAGGAGAGAUGAGAGGGCAGGAACGGCACAGGUCACAGAGGAGAGUAGAGGAGAGGAGAGGGCAGGAACAGCACAGGUCACAGAGGAGAGUAGAGUAGAAGAGAGAGGAGAGGGCAGGAACAGCACAGGUCACAGAGGAGAGGAGAGGGCAGGAACAGCACAGGUCACAGAGGAGAGGAAAGGAAAGGAGUCCACUAUUGUGUGCAGGAAUAUCUUUGGCAAGGCUGUUAGGACAUGACAUGUGUCAUGUGGAAGAAGGGAUCCCAUUGCUUACAGAGUUCCAUAUAAGGCUAUGGUUUAUCACCGCCUCAUAUCUUAGCUUUCUACAAUUGAAAUAAUACAGGUAACCUACUGGAACACCAUUUGCUGCACUAACUGUCUGCUGGAUGUGACAAGCGCAGAAUGAGUUGAGCAGUAGGUGCAUCUUUUAACCCCAACAUGGUUAGUUGAUGAUGUGUCUAUGUAAUCACCAUGUCACCAUGACAUCUAGGGUCACUACAUCAAAUGAGUAAUAACGAGAGAUUGAGGCACACACUUAAAGAUGCAUUCUCAAACUUUUGUAUAAUUUCUGCCAGUAGUUUAGAAAG